Long non-coding RNA from Nerophis ophidion (straightnose pipefish), 755 nucleotides. RefSeq lists it as uncharacterized. NCBI's taxonomy places the organism in Eukaryota, Metazoa, Chordata, Actinopteri, Syngnathiformes, Syngnathidae. The transcript is spliced from 3 exons. The record is from RefSeq and is a predicted model, not a curated record.
CGGCCACAGAACAACAAUAAAAGUCCCAUUUAAGAGUUGCUGGUGUGACAAUAGGAAGAAUAUAUUCCACUCCUCUCGUGUACACGCGGUUUAUGAGAGUUGGGCUUUGCCCCUUAGUUCCAGUGAAAGGAACUUUGAAUGGCCCAGGAUACCAAAACAUGUUGGAGAAUUCCUUGGGAUGGCACUUCAAGUUCAUAUGGGGCGAUGGCGCCUAUCUCAGCUACAAUCGGGCGGAAGGCGGGGUACACCCUGGACAAGUCGCCCCUCAUCGCAGGGCCAACACAGAUAGACAGACAACAUUCACACUCACAUUCAAACACUGAAUGUGAGGGUUUGGUGCUAGCGGGGUGUAUAAUAUAGCCGGUAUGAGUCAUGGAUGCAUUGCAUUCUGGGCAAGUGUUUAUAAUGUGUUACAGAGCCGAUGUUCUCCAGAAAUGUGUUUGUUAUUCUUGUUUGGUGUGGGUUCACAGUGUGUGGCGCAUAUUAGUAAGAGUGUUAAAGUUGUUUUAUAUCACAACCAUCAGUGUGAUCUGUAUGGCUGUGGAACAAGACCCCUGGUUUACACAUAGUAAAAGCAAAAAAUACCUCCUCCGCCAUUUUGGAAAUGACGACAUGGGAAGUGUCACUCGUGAUGUCAUGAAUUUGACCUGGCAGUAAAAGUAAGCACGCGCUUAUAAAUUUAGGGAGCGGGUUUGACCCUGCAGUAAUUCAAGGCAGGCAGGCGCAUAUUACAUGCCUGGCGGCCAUUCAAGGAA